Molecule: ribosomal RNA, 578 nt
Filed under: Microcharidius cf. elenae 1046057
Lineage: Eukaryota; Metazoa; Arthropoda; Insecta; Coleoptera; Carabidae
Description: partial large subunit ribosomal RNA
Rfam family: Bacterial large subunit ribosomal RNA (bases 337-495)
Source: RNAcentral
UGGCCGCAGUAAUUUGACUGUGCAAAGGUAGCAUAAUCAAUAGUUUUUUAAUUGAAAGCUUGUAUGAAGGGUUGGACGAAAUAAUAUCUGUCUUUAUUUAAUAAUUAUUAAAAUUUAAUUUUUAAGUUAAAAAGCUUAAAUAUUUAUAAAAGACGAGAAGACCCUAUAGAGCUUUAUAAAUUUUGAUUUAUAAAUAUUUUAGAUUUUUUAUUUUUAUAAUUUAUAAUUUAUUUUAUUGGGGUAAUAGAAAGAUUUAAUUAAUUCUUUUUUUUGUUUUUAUUUAUUUAUAUUUAUAAUGAUCCAUUAUUAAUGAUUAUAAGAUUAAGUUACCUUAGGGAUAACAGCGUAAUUUUUUUAGAGAGUUCAUAUUGAUAAAAAAGUUUGCGACCUCGAUGUUGGAUUAAAGAUUAGUUUAGGUGCAAAAGUUUAAAUUUUUGGUCUGUUCGACCAUUAAAUCUUUACAUGAUCUGAGUUCAGACCGGUUUAAGCCAGGUCGGUUUCUAUCUUUAUUAUAUUAAAAUAUUUUAGUACGAAAGGACCAAAUAUUAAUUAUAUUAAUUUUAUUUUUGAAUAAUAUU